RNAcentral lists this small nuclear RNA (100 nucleotides) under Dipodomys ordii (Ord's kangaroo rat). The record is from RNAcentral. Lineage: Eukaryota; Metazoa; Chordata; Mammalia; Rodentia; Heteromyidae.
UUGCUUCAACAGCACAUAUACCAAAAUUACAACAAUACAACAGUGAACAUGGCACUUGUGCAAGGAUACUAUGAAAAUUUGUGAAGUGUUCCACAUUUUU